UACGUAGGGUGCAAGCGUUAUCCGGAAUUAUUGGGCGUAAAGAGCUCGUAGGCGGUUUGUCGCGUCUGCUGUGAAAACUGGAGGCUCAACCUCCAGCCUGCAGUGGGUACGGGCAGACUAGAGUGCGGUAGGGGGAGAUUGGAAUUCCUGGUGUAGCGGUGGAAUGCGCAGAGUAUCAGGAGGAACACCGAUGGCGAAAGGCAGAUCUCUGGGCCGUAACUGACGCUGAGGAGCGAAAGCAUGGGGAGCGAACAGG
RNAcentral lists this ribosomal RNA (256 nucleotides) under uncultured bacterium. RNAcentral's name for it is "partial 16S ribosomal RNA". It matches the Rfam family "Bacterial small subunit ribosomal RNA", at positions 524 to 776 of the family's 1533-position model. The record is from RNAcentral.